CAGCAGCCGCGGUAAUACAGAGGAUGCAAGCGUUAUCCGGAAUGAUUGGGCGUAAAGCGUCUGUAGGUGGCUUUUCAAGUCCGCCGUCAAAUCCCAGGGCUCAACCGGGGAGGGUCAUUGGAAACUGGGAAACUUGAGUGCAGAAGAGGAGAGUGGAAUUCCACGUGUAGCGGUGAAAUGCGUAGAGAUGUGGAGGAACACCAGUGGCGAAGGCGACUCUCUGGUCUGUAACCGACGCUGAGGAGCGAAAGCGUGGGGAGCGAACAGGAUUAGAUACCCCUGUAGUCCCUGUCUCUUAUAC
This 301-nucleotide ribosomal RNA is filed under the name uncultured bacterium. Its description in RNAcentral is "partial 16S ribosomal RNA". It matches the Rfam family "Bacterial small subunit ribosomal RNA", at positions 509 to 807 of the family's 1533-position model. The record is from RNAcentral.